AGUUCUUUGUUGCUGUGUUGCCCACUCCUACAGGCCGCAUACUUGCCGGUUACUACUUGCUGGAUGUAGUCUGCUGUCGCAAAAUGGACACUUCUACUUUCAUAACUUCUUGUGAAUACGGGCCUAAGUGUUGUAAGAACGCAUGAGAAAGGACUCUCUACUUUAAGCUCCCGAG
Non-coding RNA from Dermacentor albipictus, 175 nucleotides. NCBI's taxonomy places the organism in Eukaryota, Metazoa, Arthropoda, Arachnida, Ixodida, Ixodidae. The record is from RefSeq and is a predicted model, not a curated record.